CUACACACGUGCUACAAUGGCGCGUACAGAGGGACGCCAAACCGCGAGGUGGAGCAGACCCCAGAAAGCGCGUCGUAGUUCGGAUUGCAGUCUGCAACUCGACUGCAUGAAGUCGGAAUCGCUAGUAAUCGCGGAUCAGCAUGCCGCGGUGAAUACGUUCCCGGGCCUUGUACACACCGCCCGUCACACCAUGGGAGUAGAUUGUACCAGAAGCGGCUAGCCUAACCUUCGGGAGGGCGGUUACCACGGUAUGGUUUAUGACUGGGGUGAAGUCGUAACAAGGUAGCCGUAGGGGAACCUGCGGCUGGAUCACCUCCUUUAAAGAAAAGGGUCUAGACCCCACACACGCCACUCGGUAAGGAAUU
RNAcentral lists this ribosomal RNA (365 nucleotides) under uncultured bacterium. RNAcentral describes it as "bacterial SSU rRNA". The stretch from base 1 to 320 matches the Rfam family "Bacterial small subunit ribosomal RNA", at positions 1214 to 1533 of the family's 1533-position model. The record is from RNAcentral.